GUAGGUAAGCGAUGGAAGGACGCAGGAAGGUAGCCUCCGCGUGGCGAUGGUAGUCCACGUCCAAGAGCGCAGGGCCGGGGAGUGGUAAAUCCGCCCCAUCAGUGCCUCAGGCUUGAUAGUGACCGCGUAUGCGGGAAGCAGGGUGAUCCUAUGCUGCCGAGAAAAGUUUCUAGCGAGGUUCUAGCCGCCCGUACCCCAAACCGACUCAGGUGGUUGGGUAGAGAAUACCAAGGCGAUCGAGUGAAUCGUGGUUAAGGAAUUCGGCAAAAUGCCCCCGUAACUUCGGGAGAAGGGGGGCCCC
Molecule: ribosomal RNA, 301 nt
Filed under: Haptolina brevifila
Lineage: Eukaryota; Haptophyta; Prymnesiales; Prymnesiaceae
Description: partial Bacterial large subunit ribosomal RNA
Rfam family: Bacterial large subunit ribosomal RNA
Source: RNAcentral